AUUGAACGCUGGCGGCAUGCCUUACACAUGCAAGUCGAACGGUAACAGGUCUUCGGAUGCUGACGAGUGGCGAACGGGUGAGUAAUACAUCGGAACGUGCCUAGUAGUGGGGGAUAACUACUCGAAAGAGUGGCUAAUACCGCAUGAGAUCUACGGAUGAAAGCAGGGGAUCGCAAGACCUUGUGCUACUAGAGCGGCCGAUGGCAGAUUAGGUAGUUGGUGGGAUAAAAGCUUAACAAGCCGACGAUCUGUAGCUGGGCUGCGAGGACGAUCAGCCACACUGGGACUGAGACACGGCCCAGACUACUACGGGAGGCAGCAGUGGGGAAUUUUGGCCAAUGGGCGAAAGCCUGAUCCAGCAAUGCCGCGUGCAGGAUGAAGGCCUUCGGGUUGUAAACUGCUUUUGUACGGAACGAAAAGCCCCGGGUUAAUACCCUGGGGUCAUGACGGUACCGUAAGAAUAAGCACCGGCCAACUACGUGCCAGCCGCCGCCGUAA
This 498-nucleotide ribosomal RNA is filed under the name uncultured bacterium. RNAcentral describes it as "partial 16S ribosomal RNA". It matches the Rfam family "Bacterial small subunit ribosomal RNA", at positions 30 to 523 of the family's 1533-position model. The record is from RNAcentral.